This 2731-nucleotide long non-coding RNA is filed under the name Sus scrofa (pig). RNAcentral describes it as "lncRNA (ENSSSCG00060012570.1)". The record is from RNAcentral. Lineage: Eukaryota; Metazoa; Chordata; Mammalia; Artiodactyla; Suidae.
GGGCCUUUGAGCCCCAGGCCCAGGAUGCCUGAUGCUGUGUGGAGGUGACACCUUCCAGCUCCCUCGGUGAUGCAGUGCUGGACCAAAACCUGCCCUGUGCAGCAAUGAUUGCGAGCCGUCUUCUCCCACGUGGCUGUGUUUGGCCCUGGUCCAUCAUCAAGUCAGUCCUACUGCUGUGAAAGGUUGUAAACUUGUUUGAGUUGGAUGUGUUCACUUGCAACCAGAAGAUGCAGAGGCGGUCAGUGCGAAGAUGGACAGAGAUUAUUCUAAGAAGGGCAAGGAAGUAAACGAGAAAGUCCUUUGCCCUCACUGCUGUUUGUAGUUACCGGUGAUAACUAAGCAGACAUGUGGAGAGGGAAAGUGUCUGGCUGAGAAAAUCACCAGAAAUGAUGGAGAUGGUGCCCUGAUAGAACUGGACCUGAAGCUCUGCACUUGUGUGCUUCAAUACAAACCAGGUUUCUGGACUCACACAGACUUGAAACCAAAGCCAGGCUUGACCACAGAUAGUUCGAGGCUCCAGGAUGUUCCUGAGAUGGCGAAGCUGGCAUCCCUCACGGUCUGAAGGCAGGGGAGGCCCUGAGCUAGCCAAGGAGACCUCACACUGGAACACGAUGAAACUGUCUGUCAGAUGAGGUCCUAGAAGUUACCACAUGGGAAUGAAUAAGGAAGAUGCAAAAUGUAGUGAAAGAGACCAGUCAUCUCCCACGGUGGAGGCACAGCUGAGUAUCUGAGAACACGUGAUUGAAGGGUCUCUCCCACCUGCAUGCCCAGGGCGUCCUUCAGGGAGAAUGAUGGGGGAGGGGUGAUGCCAGGGGGAAGCCUGGGCCACCAGAAGAGAAUGGGCUGCAUGGUACCUCUAAAGAGGGCAGCUCGUGGGGGGAACGCGUUGGUUUCCCAGCAUCCUGGAUACAUGGCACCUGGUGGGGGGAGACCUGUCCUUAUGGAGAAGGUAAGGUUACAAACAUUUAUCUUAAUAACUGACGCGCAGUGCUGGGCAUGUGGUGGCUCAUUAUGCUAUUCUAUUUUUGUAUAGAUGACAUUUGCCAAAAUAAAAAGUGAAAGAGAGAAAGAGAAGAAAAAUAAACAUAUCUUGCUUCCCAUACAGCUUUCCAAUUCCAAUCUGACUACCCAGGAGUUCCCUUCAUGGCUCAGUGGUUAACGAACCUGACUCCAAUCCACAAGGAUGUGGGUUUGAUCCCUGGCCUCGCUCAGUGGGCUAAAGACCCAUCAUUGCCGAGAGCUGUGGUAUAGGUUGCAGACGUGGCUCAGAUCUGGCGUUGCCAUGGCUGUGGUGUAGGCUGGCAGCUGUAGCUCCAAUUCGACCCCUAGCCUGAGAACUUUCAUAUGCCAUGAGUUUUGCCCUAAAAAGCAAAAAAAAAAAAAAAAAAAAAAAAAAAAAAGUUCUGACUACCCAUCGUUCUGUUGGUAAAGAUGACUCUGACCCUGGCCACAUGGUCUUGGAUUACUUGGUGAUUAUGUUUCCCUUUGCAAAUGUGGUGGCAUUAAGAAUGUGGCAUUCAAGUUUGGAUUGGCACUGCUCACAGUGUGGUAUAAGGAUCAAAGUUUAUGUGUGAACUGAACUGUUACCAGAAUACAAGAGAGUUGAGAGUAAAUACUUAGAAACUUCUGUAGCCAUUGACUUUUCCCUACCAUCCAAGUUCAUGGUCAGUGGAUGGGUCUCAUGAACAGGGAUUGAGGGUAGUCAAACUAGGGUGAUGACGGUUAUGUGGUGUGAACUGUGGCUUGAUCAUGCUCAGUGGGACUAUACAUCAGACUGUGAUGGACUAGAUUUUUUUUUUUUUCCCCACUGUACAGCAAGGGGGUCAGGUUAUCCUUACAUGUAUACAUUACAAUUACAUUUUUUCCCCCACCCUUUGUUCUGUUGCAACAUGAGUAUCUAGACAUAGUUCUCAAUGCUAUUCAGCAGGAUCUCCUUGUAAAUCUAUUCUAAGUUGUGUCUGAUAAGCCCAAGCUCCCGAUCCCUCCCACUCCCUCCCCCUCCCAUCAGGCAGCCACAAGUCUCUUCUCCAAUGGACUAGAUAUUUUUUAAUCACGACAUACAGCUCAAGUCCUUGGGACUUUCAGUGGCAUCACCUAGCCCUUUAGAAUCUAGUCCUGGAGAACCCCAACAAGAACAGAUUUCUAGACCCAUAGGGAGUAAGGCCUCCCUAUGCUCUGGAUUGUGUCUCCCUAGGGCCCUGCCCGGGCCACCUGCCCAUCUUCCCUGCCCUGCCCUCACCCCUUCUCACCCAGGUUGAAAAGCAACAGAUGCCGAGAGCCUGCAGGGCGGGGCGGUUUCUCUGGCCAAAGCCAGAUCCCUUUGCUCCUUUUCUUUUUUCAAAUUAAAAUGGAGAUGUGCUUCGGCUGCCUCUCCCAGAUCCCUGUUUUUGGGAGGGCCUAGCAGGGACAGAGGGCCAUGCAGGAGCCCCACACAAGCUGUCGAGGCUGUUCUGGAAGUGGGUAAUCUCAGAAAGGAUGAUUUAGAGCGUGGCAUGGCAGGGUUGGAGGCAGCGAGGUAGCUGUUCCCCACGGCGCUCAUUAAGCUUCCAUAGAUUGCAUUUCCUGCCUCCCCCGCUAGCCCUCCAAAGUGCCUGUUAUUAAUUCAUAAAAACACUGCAAGCGUGAUUGAGUCCGCUGAUUACUGGAGCAGGCAGACACAAGAGACGGUAAAAUAUUCCGUGUCUCUCUAUCAGGCUCUCAGGGGCUCGGGAGGAAGAAAAAAAAAAAAAAA